AUUGCGCCACUGCAUUCCAUCCUGGGUCACAGGAUGAGAGUCCAUCUCAAAAAAGAAAAAAAAAAAGAGGACUUUCCCCCUUUGCCUUUGAGCUAAGCUGCUGAGCCAAGCCAGGAAGACAAAGAUGUUCCCUUAUUUUUAGGGAGCAGGAAAAUCAGGAUUCUGUUCAGCUGUGGCUCUAGUGUCUAGCUAGGGGGCAUUUUAAAUUAACCCAUGAGUUCUCAUGUCAUAAGAUCACAGGGUAUUUGUUGAAUAAAUAAAUGCAUGCAACUGAAGAGCUCAAUGGAUAAGUUCUGUACUUCAAGAAUUUCUGGUUUCUCCAUCAAGACAAUCUUAGAUUAUUUGGGCAUAAAUAAUCUAAGGCCUGGGAAGCAGGCCCUGCUUUAUGGAUAUGUGACUUAGACAGGCCAUGGUUUAAGGCUCUGCUGUUAUUUUGAAAUUUUUAAUUUGAACAAGGGGAUUUCAAGAUUUCAUUUUGCUCGAAUUAUGUGCAGACCCACACAUUAUGUAGCCAGUCCUACAGGGAAGCCACAUGUGUGCAGGCUUGUAUGAAAUCCUCUUACUGGUGACAGUGAACAUGGUAAAGAUGACAGAUGACCUUGAGACAGUCUGCCUUCUGGCAGUGCACUAGAAUAUUCUCAUAAGUCGAUAUUUUCAUAAAACAGCUUCUGAGCCAGUGUUGCACAGCAGUUAAGAGGGUGUGUUUUAUACGCAGAAAGACCUAGGCAAAUAUUCCUGUUCCACCACUCAUUAGCUGUGUGACUUCGGGGAAUUUACUCAGUUUCUUUAUCUGUUAAAUAAGGACAAUAUCACCCACCUGAUAGGGCUUUAGAAAGGAUGAAAGCAGGAUGUAUGUGAAGCGCUUGGCAUAGUGCCUGGGACAUAGAAGACACUGUAAUGGUGACUGUCAUUGUUCUUCUUGGAAUAGCAUUACUGUGUUACUUUUAGUCUGUUGAACUUAGAAGGGGUUAUCCCUCAGUCUCUUGAGUUUGCAAAUUAGGCUGCUAACACUUGGUGCAUACCCACAGGUAUGUUUGCUAAUUCUUUCCCGUAGAGCCACAGGUGAUAAGAUUAGAAAGUAGGCCCUGGGCUUCUUUGAUCAAGUGAGUGCUGUGUUUGCACUAACGAAGGGCUGUUUGAAGAUUUUUCUCUUAGGUGCUUUUAAUCCAUAACUGUUUUUACUGACAACGCUUCUGACUCCAAAUGCAUGGUGUCUUUCCCGACACCAGGAGUGUCCUACAAGUCAGUUCAAUUCUGAUGUUAUCCAUGUGGACUAUGGCUAUCCCAUAGGUCCAGGGCUCCGUCCCACAAGGCUGCCUUCACUUCAGGUGUCAGUCACAAGUCCCAGAUUGUCACUCGUACUCCUGACUGACAGGCUGUAAAUUCAGGGGAUUUCCACAACACCCUCCUCAAGUUCAGUAAUUCCCUAGAACAGCUUACAGAACACAGGGAAACAUUUUACUGAUAUUUACCGGUUUAUUAUAAAGGAUGCAAUUCAGAAACAGCUAAGUGAAAGAGAUGCCAUAGGCAAGGUAUCGGGGAAGGGCUCGGAGCUUCUGUGCCUCUAUAGGUGGGUCACCCUCCCAGUACCUCGAUGUGCUCACCAACCCGAAGUUUCUCAGACUGCAUUGUUUAGGGGUUUUUAUGGAGGGAUCAUUACGUAGGUAUGAUUGAUUAAAUCAUUGGCCAUUGGUGACUAAUGCGACCUGUGGGUGGCACUGAAAGUUCUCAGUCUUUCUGGUGAGCAGCCCCCAUGCUGAAGCUAUCAGCCACUGGUCAUCUCAUUCACACACAAAAGUCACCCAAAGGUUUUAGCCAUGUGCCAGGAACUUGGGACAAAGACCAAAUGUUUAUUUUUUAUUAUAUCACAACCCUAUAAUAUCAAAGUCACCCCAAGCAAGGAGUACCUGACUUUCCACUCAUUCAUUCAUUCAUUCAUUCACAAACUUUCUAAAAAUAUAACUGAUUGUUUCAGUUGAUGUUGGGUGGGGGACAGGAAGUAAACGAGGUUUCAAGCCUAGGUCAGGCAGCCACCAGGCAGGGGCAUCAUAAAGGGCCCUGAGCCCUGGAAGGAGGAGGUGGAGGGGGUGGACUGGAUGACUGUUGCUUCCUUUAACACUGAGGGCCUACCCCCACCAAUAUCAACAGUUGGUGCUUUAAGAUUUCCAACCCCUUAAAGCAUCUUGAAGGUCAAGAUGAGUUUGACUGAGAAAUAUGUGACAGAAUGUUGCAAUUAGCAGGUGAGUAGGUAUGUGGAUAAAAGGAAUGUAUGUGGUAUAGAAAAAAUGCUCAUCUCCCAAAUAAAACAUUAAAAAAAUAGCAUGCAGCUAGGACUUGUAAACCAAAAUUAAAAUUCUGAGCUCCCCAAGCCACUGAAUGGACCCCUCCUCUCAAUCAAAAGCAUUCUAAAGCUAACCUGAAAUACUAGUUCAGGCCAUGAUGGGGAUGGGUGGUUGGACAGUCCUCAUAGCCUCCUUCCUUUGGAAUUCAGGCACAGGUGACCAGCAUUAACACAGAGACCUUAAGACUGACAGAAGAGACUCCUUGUAGCAAUAAGAUAUCUACAUGAUAGAUAACAGAUCCCGAAAGACAUCAAGGUAUCUUACCCACAAAUAUAUAUUUUAACAUUUUGAAAUGCCCUGCGAAGGCUGUCUCUUGUGGGGAAAAUCUACAUGUUGUAGAGAAUCCUGUUCCCUUUCCAGGCCUUUUUUUCCUGCUCCAAGAGAGAAUUAACUAAGAGUCUGGCACAUUUUGAAGUCUGGUAAGAAACACUUAUAGUCUAUUCUCUCUGAAGCCUGCUACCUGUAGACUUAAUCUGCAAAAUAAGAAUCUUGGUCCCCACAAUCCCUUAUCUUAACCCAGAUACUCCCUUCUAUUGACUCCAGGUUUUUAAAUAAACUCUUUCAACCAAUCACCAAUCGGAAAAUCCUUGAAUCUACCUAUCACACCUCCGUGCUUCCAGUUGUCCUGUCUUUUGGAACCAAACCAAUGUGCAGCUUACAUGUAUUGAUUGAUGUUUUAUGUCUCCCCAAAAUGUAUAAAAUGUAUAAACAAACCAAGCCAUAGCCCGACCCCCUUGGGCACAUAUUCUCAGGAUCUCCUGGGGUUGUGUCACAGGCCAUAGUCACUCAUAUUUGGCUCAGAAUAAAUCUUUUCAAAUAUUUUACAGAGUUUGACUCUUUCCACCAGCAAGCACUAAAAGACUUCUAUUUGAUUAUUUUUCAGGAAACAAGUAGUUAGACUUAAAAAAAAAGUUAUCUCUCUAUAAAUUGUCAUGGGAUCCAUUUGUCAUGGAUAUACCUAUAGUAUGUGUGGUUGGAGCAAGCCAUGUUAAGGCACCAUUGUGUAAGGGUGGAGAGUUUAUCCAUAACAUAUUUAUCCAUCCUAGAUGAAAUCUAUACUAAUUAGACAGAAGCAUGAUCUUCAAAA
Long non-coding RNA from Sapajus apella (tufted capuchin), 3429 nucleotides. RefSeq lists it as uncharacterized. The transcript has 2 exons. NCBI's taxonomy places the organism in Eukaryota, Metazoa, Chordata, Mammalia, Primates, Cebidae. The record is from RefSeq and is a predicted model, not a curated record.